RNAcentral lists this ribosomal RNA (254 nucleotides) under uncultured bacterium. RNAcentral describes it as "partial 16S ribosomal RNA". It matches the Rfam family "Bacterial small subunit ribosomal RNA", at positions 524 to 776 of the family's 1533-position model. The record is from RNAcentral.
GACGUAGGGGGCAAGCGUUGUCCGGAUUCACUGGGCGUAAAGGGAGCGCAGGCGGUUACGUAAGUCCGGCGUGAAAUACCCCGGCUCAACUGGGGAAUUGCGUCGGAUACUGCGUUGACUAGAGGACGGUAGAGGCAAGUGGAACUAGCGGUGUAGCGGUGAAAUGCGCAGAUAUCGCUAGGAACGCCGGUGGCGAAGGCGACUUGCUGGGCCGAUUCUGACGCUCAUGCUCGAAAGCUAGGGGAGCGAACCGG